RNAcentral lists this unclassified non-coding RNA (255 nucleotides) under uncultured Hypocreales. Its description in RNAcentral is "sequence contains 5.8S rRNA gene, ITS2, 28S rRNA gene". The stretch from base 1 to 52 matches the Rfam family "5.8S ribosomal RNA", at positions 103 to 154 of the family's 154-position model. RNAcentral also lists the same sequence under 1 other name. The record is from RNAcentral. Lineage: Eukaryota; Fungi; Ascomycota; Sordariomycetes; Hypocreales.
AACGCACAUUGCGCCCGCCAGUAUUCUGGCGGGCAUGCCUGUUCGAGCGUCAUUUCAACCCUCAAGCUCUGCUUGGCGUUGGGGAUCGGCAACCCGGCUUCGCGCCGCGCCGUCCCUCAAAUACAGUGGCGGUCACGCUGCAGCUUCCUUUGCGUAGUAGCACACCUCGCACCGGAGAGCAGCGCGGCCACGCCGUAAAACCCCCGACUUCUUGUUUUUGACCUCGAAUCAGGUAGGACUACCCGCUGAACUUAA